AUUGAACGCUGGCGGCAGGCCUAACACAUGCAAGUCGAACGGUAACAGGAAGCAGCUUGCUGCUCUGCUGACGAGUGGCGGACGGGUGAGUAAUGUCUGGGAAGCUGCCUGAUGGAGGGGGAUAACUACUGGAAACGGUAGCUAAUACCGCAUAAUGUCGCAAGACCAAAGAGGGGGACCUUCGGGCCUCUUGCCAUCGGAUGUGCCCAGAUGGGAUUAGCUUGUUGGUGGGGUAACGGCUCACCAAGGCGACGAUCCCUAGCUGGUCUGAGAGGAUGACCAGCCACACUGGAACUGAGACACGGUCCAGACUCCUACGGGAGGCAUCAGUGGGGAAUAUUGCACAAUGGGCGCAAGCCUGAUGCAGCCAUGCCGCGUGUAUGAAGAAGGCCUUCGGGUUGUAAAGUACUUUCAGCGGGGAGGAAGGGAGUAAAGUUAAUACCUUUGCUCAUUGACGUUACCCGCAGAAGAAGCACCGGCUAACUCCGUG
RNAcentral lists this ribosomal RNA (490 nucleotides) under uncultured bacterium. RNAcentral's name for it is "partial 16S ribosomal RNA". It matches the Rfam family "Bacterial small subunit ribosomal RNA", at positions 30 to 507 of the family's 1533-position model. The record is from RNAcentral.